CGCGUAGGCGGUAAUGUAAGUCAGACGUGAAAUCCUUCGGCUCAACUGAAGAACUGCGUCUGAAACUGCAUGACUAGAGUGCAGAAGAGGGAAACGGAAUUCCAGGUGUAGAGGUGAAAUUCGUAGAUAUCUGGAGGAACACCGGUGGCGAAGGCGGUUUCCUGGUCUGACACUGACGCUGAGGCGCGAAAGCGUGGGGAGCAAACAGGAUUAGAUACCCUGGUAGUCCACGCCGUAAACGGUGGGUACUGGGUGUGGGAGGUGUAAUGCCUUCUGUGCCGAAGCUAACGCGUUAAGUACCCCGCCCGGGGAGUACGGCCGCAAGGUUGAA
RNAcentral lists this ribosomal RNA (331 nucleotides) under uncultured bacterium. RNAcentral describes it as "bacterial SSU rRNA". It matches the Rfam family "Bacterial small subunit ribosomal RNA", at positions 568 to 898 of the family's 1533-position model. The record is from RNAcentral.